Molecule: long non-coding RNA, 296 nt
Organism: Helianthus annuus (common sunflower)
Lineage: Eukaryota; Viridiplantae; Streptophyta; Magnoliopsida; Asterales; Asteraceae
Exons: 3
Source: RefSeq, a predicted model, not a curated record
GACUGCCUUCAGGAACUGCACUCACGGACGUAUCACUACUUUGUGUUGGGAGUCUUCUGCUCUUAAGGUGGACCGGUAACUAAGCACCGUGGUGGGGAUAGAAACCAGUGCAUUAUUCCUAAAGUCAAAGAGAGGCUAGAUUCUUUUGAGGGCACUAAUCCUAAUACAAGAUACAUACUAAAAAAAGACUUGAUCAAGGAGGAUUUGGAGAAGUUUGGGUGGCUUUUCAUAGAAACAACCUUCAACAAAUUUGGAAUAUGGUGUAAAGAACAUCUACAUUGUAAAGCACAUAAUGG